GGACGAUGACAACUAAAUUGAUAUUGACGUUCGUCGUAAUGGUGUUCAAAUGAUACACCUUGCCGACCAAGCUGAUAUGUCACCACCCAUAAACUGAGUCC
This 101-nucleotide small nucleolar RNA is filed under the name Olea europaea subsp. europaea. RNAcentral's name for it is "Small nucleolar RNA Z43". It matches the Rfam family "Small nucleolar RNA Z43". Rfam says of the family: Z43 is a member of the C/D class of snoRNA which contain the C (UGAUGA) and D (CUGA) box motifs. The record is from Rfam by way of RNAcentral. Lineage: Eukaryota; Viridiplantae; Streptophyta; Magnoliopsida; Lamiales; Oleaceae.